CAUACUAACUAUUCGCCAGAAUACUACAAGCAAAACGCUUGAAACUCAAAGGACUUGGUGGUGUCCCAUAUCACCCUAGAGGAGCCUGUCCUAUAAUCGAUACUCCACGUUAAACCUUACCAUCUUUGGUCACUCCAGCCUAUAUACCGCCGUCGCAAGCCUACCCUAUGAAGGCCAUACAGUAGGCAAAACUGCUCUCACAAAAACGUCAGGUCAAGGUGUAGCUUAUAAGAUGGAAGAGAUGGGCUACAUUUUCUAACUUAGAAAAUACGAACAAUACACUGAAAUCUUGUAUUAGAAGGAGGAUUUAGAAGUAAAAUAUAAAAGAAAAACAAUUUUAAACUAGCCCUGGGACGCGCACACACCGCCCGUCACCCUCAUCAACAACACAUACAACUAACAUAUACCCUAAAUUUCUAAUAGAUGAGGCAAGUCGUAACAUGGUAAGCGUACUGGAAAGUGCGCUUGGAUUAACAAAAAGUAGCUUAAAACAAAGCAUUCAGCUUACAAUUGAAAAAUGUUAUUCACCCAACCUUUUUGAGCCUUAACCCAAGCCCACUAUAACCCCCACUCAAUCAAACAAAAUAAACAAACCAUUUGACCAGAAUAGUAUCUGAGAGAGAAC
Molecule: ribosomal RNA, 625 nt
Filed under: Zonosaurus madagascariensis
Lineage: Eukaryota; Metazoa; Chordata; Lepidosauria; Squamata; Gerrhosauridae
Description: partial 12S ribosomal RNA
Rfam family: Bacterial small subunit ribosomal RNA (bases 1-481)
Source: RNAcentral